Molecule: ribosomal RNA, 251 nt
Filed under: uncultured bacterium
Lineage: Bacteria
Description: partial 16S ribosomal RNA
Rfam family: Bacterial small subunit ribosomal RNA
Source: RNAcentral
UGGUGAGUAACGCGUGAGGAACCUGCCUUUCGGAGGGGGACAACAGUUGGAAACGACUGCUAAUACCGCAUGACGUAUCGGGAUCGCAUGGUCUUGAUACCAAAGAUUUUAUCGCCGAAAGAUGGCCUCGCGUCUGAUUAGCUAGUUGGUGGGGCAACGGCCUACCAAGGCGACGAUCAGUAGCCGGACUGAGAGGUUGGCCGGCCACAUUGGGACUGAGAUACGGCCCAGACUCCUACGGGAGGCAGCAG